Molecule: ribosomal RNA, 468 nt
Filed under: uncultured bacterium
Lineage: Bacteria
Description: partial 16S ribosomal RNA
Rfam family: Bacterial small subunit ribosomal RNA
Source: RNAcentral
GACGAACGCUGGCGGCGUGCUUAACACAUGCAAGUCGAACGGAACGGCCCUGCUUUUGUGGGGUGCUCGAGUGGCGAACGGGUGAGUAACACGUGAGUAACCUGCCCUUGACUUUGGGAUAACUUCAGGAAACUGGGGCUAAUACCGGAUAGGAGCUCCUGCUGCAUGGUGGGGGUGGGAAAGUUUCGGCGGUUGGGGAUGGACUCGCGGCCUAUCAGCUUGUUGGUGGGGUAGUGGCUUACCAAGGCUUUGACAGGUAGCCGGCCUGAGAGGGUGACCGGCCACACUAGGCCGGGAAUGAGACACAGACUACUACGGUAGGCAAGGGAGCAGAAUAGUACACUAUGGGCUGAAGCCUAGCGCAGCAACGCCGCGUGCGGUGAGACGGGCUGCGGGUUGUGUUCUACUGCCGCCUUAGACGAGGCGUUAGUGACGGUAACGGGUGAAGAAGCACCGGCUAACUACGUG